UAGCAUUAACAAAAAUCCAUCGUUGGUCCAUUGCUAGGCAAGGCGAUGAGGACAGCAAGCGACGAAAAGCGACGAACGGCAAGCGAUGAGCAACGGGCGGUGAACGGCAAGUGAUGAGCGACGAGCGAUGGAUAGGCGAUGAGGACAGAAAUCGAUUGUGCUCUCUUGCUCUUGCUGUUACUCUGGCUCUUGUGAUGGUGGCUCCGGUGUAGGUGGUAAGUAACAGUGGAUUAAUUGUUUAGUUUUUUCCCUAGUUUGUUAUGUAAUGUUUCUCUUUUUCUUUUUCAUGUUGAAUGGAUUAUUGAACAGUAAGAAUUAUUGAACUCUUCAAGCCUUUGAAAGAGUUUAAGCCUCCGGCUAUCAUAAUAUCUUAGUUUCUGCCGACGAAUUUUCAUCCUCUUCCCAAAGGGUCAUAAUGGCUCUCAUUCUCUUGUUCAUGCCUGCAUAUAAAAGAAAAGAAAUACGCAAGGUGAAUCAUAACAUGCAUCUGCAACAGGAAUAGGAGAAGAUUCAUUUGAGCUAAAUGCAAAGGAUAGUGGUGGGUGUGGUAUCGGAAAUGGUGAUGGAUGUGUAUCAACAGUGGCUGUCUAAUUGUAACUUUCUUUAUUUUUCUUUUUCAUUUUUCACUAGAUUUUUUAUUGUUUAAAAAGAAUAAACUUUUUUGUAUUUAAAUAUAAAAUUUGGGAACAUAGCAAUCCACGUGUGUCAUCAUGUUAGUGGAUAAUAUUUUUAUUAGCUCCUUUGAGAAAAAUGG
RNAcentral lists this long non-coding RNA (754 nucleotides) under Ricinus communis (castor bean). RNAcentral's name for it is "long non-coding RNA (RCOM_LNC002639)". The record is from RNAcentral. Lineage: Eukaryota; Viridiplantae; Streptophyta; Magnoliopsida; Malpighiales; Euphorbiaceae.